RNA transcript from Triticum aestivum (bread wheat), 2472 nucleotides. RefSeq lists it as uncharacterized. The transcript is spliced from 3 exons. The record is from RefSeq and is a predicted model, not a curated record. NCBI's taxonomy places the organism in Eukaryota, Viridiplantae, Streptophyta, Magnoliopsida, Poales, Poaceae.
UCAAGGUGCUCUUAGGACGUGUCCAUCAUGUCUCUGGCGUACCGCAUGUUUGCCUCGUGUCACAAGCUCCCUUUGGUAAGUGGGCGGCCACGGGCUCCACGCAGUAGCUCUCGGUCACGUGGUUGAGGCCACACAUCCUUUCCCUAAUGAGAAUAGAGGAUUCGAGAGGAGGAGCUCAAGCCCGCCCGAGCUUCUUCUGCCGCCUCAGACACCACGCGACCCCGUUGGCCGUCUCCCAAGUCGCCUGCCGACCUCCGCCUCCUCUCCUUAUUCUCCCGUCUCUCUUCUCCCGUAUGUGACAUUUCUCUCCCGUGCAGCUUCCACCUCCCUGCAGAUCCACAAUUUGUCGGCCGGAGGGAACGGGGCAGAGCCUCCAGCAUCGCUGGGAGCAAUGGCCGAUGCCCGGCGGCACUGAGGUGGCGCAUCACAGUAUGAAGCACCGCUCCCGAUCCGUAGGGAUUUGGGUUUGAUUUCCGUCUAUGGCUUCGAUCCAGGGAUUUGGCUUCGGUCAGGAGACUUGGGUCAAAGGCAAGCCCACCGAAGUCAGCUCCAAUCCAGUCUUCUAAGAAGGGGUGUGGGAACUAGGGCUUGCUCAAGGUGCUAUCAUUUUUUUUGCUUUGACCAUGAGAACACAAAGAACAGAAGGCUGGUGCUUGCUGCUUUCAAGGGGAUACAUACCUGAUACCUCUGUUGUGGCAGCAGCCCUCUGCUUCUGCUACCCGUUGGCGCCGCUGCCUCCCGCUUCUACCCUCUGCUGCUGCUGCUUGUCAUUGCUCCUUGCCACGAGCUCAAUGGCGUACAUGUAGGACCUCCCCUGCCCGUGCGUCCUCUCCGACCCGUGUGCAUCCUCCUCGUUCCAGCGUAGCAACAACAGCUCCUCCAGGCCACCCUGCCUCUCUUCCUUCUCCCUUUCUACUUCCUCCCCUCGUUCUUCUUCUUCUCUCUAACACACACCAAUUCACUCUUUCUCUGUUACCUACAGGAGGCCGACGCCGAACUGCAAGCAGCUGCCGCCUGGAGGUUCUCUGCCACCGGAGCCCUCCUCCUCGCCCACGUCGCCUGCGUCCAUCCUCGUCGGAUCCGAUGCUGCAGGGACUCCCUGCGCCUCCGCCGCCUCGCCAAGUCCGUCUGUUGAAGCCGCUUCUGUCCGCUGACUGCUCGAUCCCCUGCCUCGACCACGUCCGUGUGCGUGCGCAAGGGAUGCAAGGCCUAGCAACGCUUCUCGGCGUCCAUGUGCGGUGGCAGGUAGAGGUCGGCGCCGGCGAGCAGGCAGUGGAGCGCAUCGACGGAGCCAUGGUGGAGGUCAUGGGCGCCGAGCUGCUCCACCCACCUCGCGCCGACUCGUGGCUGCUGGCCGACGAGCACAGGGGAGCUCGGGUUCUUGGGAAUGGAGACACACCUAUAGGGGUCCGGCGAUGCUGGAGGCGGAGGAGAGGGGCGGGCACCUUCCGCACCGACGAGCUCGUCAACGAGAGGAGCCUCCCCCUUUCCACCUUCUCUGCCGCUGGAUAAGAUGAACAAAGGAAUGCGGGCGAAAUUGUUACAAAAUGCAGGGAUUAAUUUGCAAAAAUGAAUCGUUUUGCUAGAUCCACUUACUUAGGGACUGCGGGUUCUAUUAUCUAAAACCAUAGGGACUUUUUUGCAGAACUGUCGCGACGACGGACGGCAGAAACCGAAUUUUCUUUAUUAUUAAAAUUAGGUUAUAGGUUAUUAGGUAAAGAUAAAGACUAGCAAAAUAAGUUUGACUCAAUACCCUGAUAUAUGAGCGUUCUCUAUUUUAACACAGUGACUUGCGAUGUUGCGAACAUGUUUUAUAAUUUGCGAACAGUUUUGUAAAUUCUAAUAUUUAUUGAAACUGCAAAAAUUUUAUGAUUUCACACACAUUUCUGAAUUCACAAACAUUUUAUGAUUUCUCAAACAUGUUUUUUAAAAUUUGCAAUGUUUUGGAAUUUGAAAAUAUCAAAUUAAUUUAAAAAAGGAGAAAACAAAAAAAGAAAUGAGAAAAUAAAAGAAAAAUACAAAAGAUGAAAUGAAAAAAAUAGGGGAGUCACGCCCUGCGUGCCGGCCAUGAACACGCACUGGGGGAGGGGAGGUGCAUCACAAAAAGAGGGGAAAUAUUUGCAGAACUUGAGGAUAAAGAAUUACACUCUAGCCAAAUAAGUAUGACUCAAUACCCUGACACAUGUGAUAUCCACGUGAUUGCAAUGUAGUUGACAUAGUAAAUUCCAAGGCAAUGAGCUUGCCAUUGCACGACACAUUUUUAAACUUUUAAAACAAAUCUCAUCGACCACAAACUUGCAAUUUUUUUGAGUUUUUCAAUAUUUUCUAAAAUUUCGUGGACAUUUUUGUCAUAUUCAUGAAUUUGUUUUGAAUACAUGAUUAUUUUUCAAAAUCAUGAACAUAGUUUUAUUUCCUGUCAUUUUUUUCGAAAUUUUGAUUUUUUAAGAAUUUGCAAACACUCUUCUAAAAUCA